GGCCGGUUAGCUCAGCUGGUUAGAGCGUGGUGCUAAUAACGCCAAGGUCCUGGGUUCGAUCCCCAAACUGGCCA
Molecule: transfer RNA, 74 nt
Filed under: Petromyzon marinus (sea lamprey)
Lineage: Eukaryota; Metazoa; Chordata; Hyperoartia; Petromyzontiformes; Petromyzontidae
Description: tRNA-Ile (AAT) (tRNA-Ile-AAT-5-1)
Rfam family: tRNA
About the family: Transfer RNA (tRNA) molecules are approximately 80 nucleotides in length.
Source: RNAcentral